AGAGUUUGAUCCUGGCUCAGGAUGAACGCUAGCGGCAGGCUUAAUACAUGCAAGUCGAGGGGCAGCAUGAGUGUAGCAAUACAUUUGAUGGCGACCGGCAAACGGGUGCGGAACACGUACAGAACCUUCCUUCGAGCGGGGAAUAGCCCAGAGAAAUUUGGAUUAAUACCCCAUAGUAUAACGGAGUGGCAUCACUUUGUUAUUAAAGAUUUAUCACUUGAAGAUGGCUGUGCGGCUGAUUAGGUAGUUGGCGGGGUAACGGCCCACCAAGCCUGCGAUCAGUAACUGGUGUGAGAGCACGACCAGUCACACGGGCACUGAGACACGGGCCCGACUCCUACGGGAGGCAGCAGUAAGGAAUAUUGGUCAAUGGACGAAAGUCUGAACCAGCCAUGCCGCGUGGAGGAUGAAGGUCCUCUGGAUUGUAAACUUCUUUUAUAUGGGACGAAAAAGGGUCUUUCUAGAUCAACUGACGGUACCAUAUGAAUAAGCACCGGCUAACUCCGUGCCAGCAGCCGCGGUAAUACGGAGGGUGCAAGCGUUAUCCGGAUUCACUGGGUUUAAAGGGAGCGUAGGUGGGUUGGUAAGUCAGUGGUGAAAUCUCCGAGCUUAACUUGGAAACUGCCAUUGAUACUAUCAGUCUUGAAUAUUGUGGAGGUCAGCGGAAUAUGUCAUGUAGCGGUGAAAUGCUUAGAUAUGACAUAGAACACCAAUAGCGAAGGCAGCUGGCUACGCAUAUAUUGACACUGAGGCUCGAAAGCGUGGGGAUCAAACAGGAUUAGAUACCCUGGUAGUCCACG
Molecule: ribosomal RNA, 800 nt
Filed under: uncultured bacterium
Lineage: Bacteria
Description: bacterial SSU rRNA
Rfam family: Bacterial small subunit ribosomal RNA
Source: RNAcentral